CAUUGACAUAAAAACACAAGCUCACUCACUAGCAGGCACACGCAUGCAAGCAAGCUCAUUCACUAGCAGAUGCACACACACAGCUUAAUGUGGUGGUACUGGUGUCUAUAGCAUGUCCCUACAGGCUUUUCAACGUAAACACUGACUUUUCAGACAAAAGGCAGUGUUUACAUUGCUUCAAAGUGACACUGCUAGAGACAGUCACUCAGACGGUCACUAGAGGUGCUUCCUGUGUUAGUGCACCUACAUUCAGGGCCUCCACACUCUGUAGGUGCUGAACGUUCCCCAUAGAGA
Pelobates cultripes (western spadefoot toad) is the source of this 294-nucleotide non-coding RNA. The record is from the annotation of a GenBank genome assembly. Lineage: Eukaryota; Metazoa; Chordata; Amphibia; Anura; Pelobatidae.